GACGAACGCUGGCGGCGUGCCUAAUACAUGCAAGUGGGACGCAAGAGAACACACUGUGCUCGCACACCGUGUUUUCUUGAGUCGCGAACGGGUGAGUAACGCGUAGGUAACCUGCCUAUUAGCGGGGGAUAACUAUUGGAAACGAUAGCUAAUACCGCAUAAUAUUAAUUAUUGCAUGAUAAUUGAUUGAAAGAUGCAAGCGCAUCACUAGUAGAUGGACCUGCGUUGUAUUAGCUAGUUGGUAAGGUAAGAGCUUACCAAGGCGACGAUACAUAGCCGACCUGAGAGGGUGAUCGGCCACACUGGGACUGAGACACGGCCCAGACUCCUACGGGAGGCAGCAGUAGGGAAUCUUCGGCAAUGGACGAAAGUCUGACCGAGCAACGCCGCGUGAGUGAAGAAGGUUUUCGGAUCGUAAAGCUCUGUUGUAAGUCAAGAACGUGUGUGAGAGUGGAAAGUUCACACAGAGACGUAGCUACCAGAA
RNAcentral lists this ribosomal RNA (484 nucleotides) under Streptococcus mutans. RNAcentral describes it as "bacterial SSU rRNA". It matches the Rfam family "Bacterial small subunit ribosomal RNA", at positions 28 to 488 of the family's 1533-position model. Lineage: Bacteria; Bacillati; Bacillota; Bacilli; Lactobacillales; Streptococcaceae. The record is from RNAcentral.